RNAcentral lists this ribosomal RNA (1009 nucleotides) under human gut metagenome. Its description in RNAcentral is "bacterial SSU rRNA". It matches the Rfam family "Bacterial small subunit ribosomal RNA", at positions 393 to 1393 of the family's 1533-position model. The record is from RNAcentral.
AACGCCGCGUGAGUGAUGACGGCCUUCGGGUUGUAAAGCUCUGUUAAUCGGGACGAAAGGCCUUCUUGCGAAUAGUGAGAAGGAUUGACGGUACCGGAAUAGAAAGCCACGGCUAACUACGUGCCAGCAGCCGCGGUAAUACGUAGGUGGCAAGCGUUGUCCGGAAUUAUUGGGCGUAAAGCGCGCGCAGGCGGAUCAGUCAGUCUGUCUUAAAAGUUCGGGGCUUAACCCCGUGAUGGGAUGGAAACUGCCAAUCUAGAGUAUCGGAGAGGAAAGUGGAAUUCCUAGUGUAGCGGUGAAAUGCGUAGAUAUUAGGAAGAACACCAGUGGCGAAGGCGACUUUCUGGACGAAAACUGACGCUGAGGCGCGAAAGCCAGGGGAGCGAACGGGAUUAGAUACCCUGGUAGUCCAGGCCGUAAACGAUGGGUACUAGGUGUAGGAGGUAUCGACCCCUUCUGUGCCGGAGUUAACGCAAUAAGCACUCCGCCUGGGGAGUACGACCGCAAGGUUGAAACUCAAAGGAAUUGACGGGGGCCCGCACAAGCGGUGGAGUAUGUGGUUUAAUUCGACGCAACGCGAAGAACCUUACCAGGUCUUGACAUUGAUGGACAGAACUAGAGAUAGUUCCUCUUCUUCGGAAGCCAGAAAACAGGUGGUGCACGGUUGUCGUCAGCUCGUGUCGUGAGAUGUUGGGUUAAGUCCCGCAACGAGCGCAACCCCUAUCUUAUGUUGCCAGCACUUCGGGUGGGAACUCAUGAGAGACUGCCGGUGACAAUGCGGAGGAAGGCGGGGAUGACGUCAAAUCAUCAUGCCCCUUAUGACCUGGGCUACACACGUGCUACAAUGGGAGUUAAUAGACGGAAGCGAGAUCGCGAGAUGGAGCAAACCCGAGAAACACUCUCUCAGUUCGGAUCGUAGGCUGCAACUCGCCUACAUGAAGUCGGAAUCGCUAGUAAUCGCAGGUCAGCAUACUGCGGUGAAUACGUUCCCGGGCCUUGUACACACCGC